Xiphophorus hellerii (green swordtail) is the source of this 2375-nucleotide long non-coding RNA. RefSeq lists it as uncharacterized. The record is from RefSeq and is a predicted model, not a curated record. The transcript has 3 exons. Lineage: Eukaryota; Metazoa; Chordata; Actinopteri; Cyprinodontiformes; Poeciliidae.
UGGACCUAAUAAAACAAAACAAUAGGAUAGAACAUCUAGUUUUAUCUCUAAUGACCAACUUAGUAUUCUACUGAAAAUAAACAACUUUGAUUGUAAGAACUAGAUAGAUACAUUUAUCCAAAUGGUUUCAGGUUUAUGCGUAGCAAAGCUUAGAGCUUUCAGAAACUAACUACUUUCAUAACAAUGCAGCUCUAUUUUAAAUUAAGCAAAUAUCAAAGCCCAGAGGGAAAUUACUGAUCUUGUUCUUGAAACGUCUUUUCUUUUAACGUCUUUUCUUUUGCUGUUCGUUAAAUUAAUUUUCACGUUUGAUGUUGUAAGAAAUAAAUUAUAGAUCAGCUCUGAAUCUUUAUUAAAAAAAACCCCUCAAACCUUGAAGCUAAGCAGGUGUUUUUUAAAAAUGUGAUAGAGGCGAUCGCCUGCACAGUGAACUGAUCACUUCAACAACGACUCGCAAGCUGUGCAGCAUCAAAUCACGUGGUUGUUGCUCAACUCUAGGUGGGAAAACGCAAUCGUCACCCGACUUCUUCAUUAGAGCUGUGUGAGAUUCGGUUGCUCUCAUUGUGAAGAGAGACACCAGUUGCUGCUCUGCUGUACAUCUAGCUUUAUAAAGGAAAUAUGCUUUUUCCUCAAAAUUCAAACAUUAGCUUAGCCUGAAAUAGCUUUAGAUAAAACAAGGGCUUGUUGUCAAUGGGAACAUUGGGAGCUAAUUUCACAAACAUAACAAUAAGAAGUCACUAAAAAUGUAGGUGGCUUGUUGAAGCAGCUUGUUGCUUUCACAUUUCAAAGCAACAAAAAGUUGCAACAUUUUUUUUUAUUUUGAGGGUGCAUUCACACCUGUUUAGUCCACUUUAAUCGAAUUCUAGUUUGUUUGCCGGGUUCGUUUGGGGAGGUGCGCCAUCAAACUCUGAUAACCAAAAAACCGAGGUCUCCAUACAGUUGAAGGGAACUCCAGCAAGGUUCGAAUCCAUAUGUGAACACCAAGCAAACCAGAGAUCGCUCCAACAACAGGAAGAGGACUACAUUGCAGGGCAUUCUGGGUAAAUACAGCCAAAACAAACUUGUAUAUAUGGCGCUAGCGAGAGAAAUGGCUUGUGGUCUUUUAGACCAGAAAAGAAAGUCUACAUCCGCUUCCAUUUGACGCUACUCCAUUUUUGUUUAGAGCUACACUGUAGCCACAGGUGCUCUGGGGCAGAUUGACAGAAGUCUGCCGCAGGGCAGAAUCAAUCGACCCCACCAGAACCUCUGACCACCACCAGCAAGCAAAGCAGGUCAAGUGUCGUCCCAACAACACAACCGCAAACAACAACUUCUAUUUUCUGAACCACUGUUGUCUCGGUUGGAAAAUGUCGGGCGUGCAAACUUCAGCAUUCUUAAAAGGGUAAAUGUCAACGAAUGCCUUGCAGCAACAACAUUUCAUCGCCAAGACUCCACAUCAAAGCAGUGCUGCUGUAAAAGGCUACAAGUAAUGCUUCGUUAAUAAUUCCACUUGAUUUCUUUUGGAUUCUGGAGCUCAAGAUCAAAAGUGGGUUUUACUUUGUUUGCAUCUGACAGGAGAGGAAAUCCCCAUUCUCAUCAUAUCUCCGCCUUAAAUGACAGGCGGGGUGCGGAUGGCCAAUCCCCUCUCGACUUUGUUGUUUUAUUUAUUUGAAAUUAUGGCUCAUAACAACUAGGAGGCAUCACUAAAGAACAAUUAGUUACUUAAUAAAACGUAAACAGCAUACAUGCUGAUUGGAAACCAUCAUUUGAUGGUUGAUAAUGGAGCCUUAGGCUACACGUCAUUUUUAAAGUGAGGUUGAGUUUGAAAUAGUCAGCGUUUUAGGACAACUGGCGGUAGGAAAGAAACAAACACAGGAUGAUUACGUAAAUUACCCGGAGCAGCCGGAGCUGAGAGGCAGCGAUGCUAACCGCCAUCCCACCCGUCUCGUACGUACAUUACAUUUUCAUUGGUUUUUCUCCCUCUUAUUCCCAACGAGGGCAGACACAGUCACGACUCAGAGCCACAGGGCAAAUCAAAAGCUAAAUCCAACUGAGAAAAUGAAAAAGCCAAACAUAUUUUGUCUCUAGUUGUGUAUCACCCAAAAAAGCCUUGCAGCUAAACGACGGCAAAAGUAUCGACUUCACACACCUGCUGCACUUUGUGUUUUGUCUAUCACCUACAAUUGCAAUAAAAUACAGAAAGCACCUUUACUUAAGCUCUAAUCCACAUUCUAACACAAUGUUACAAUACUCCAGGUUCAUGUUUGGCAAUCAUGUAGCAUUGAUUAAAAACCUAAUGAUGUAGCUGCAUGAAAUGAAGCCAUGUUGGAAUAUCUUAGAGCAGGGGUGUCAAACUCCAGUCCUCGAGGGCCGCUGUCCUGCAACUUUUAGAUGUGCCA